RNAcentral lists this unclassified non-coding RNA (353 nucleotides) under soil metagenome. RNAcentral describes it as "partial contains 5.8S ribosomal RNA, internal transcribed spacer 2, and large subunit ribosomal RNA". The stretch from base 1 to 120 matches the Rfam family "5.8S ribosomal RNA", at positions 35 to 154 of the family's 154-position model. The record is from RNAcentral.
GAUGAAGAACGUAGCGAAAUGCGAUAAGUAAUGUGAAUUGCAGAAUUCAGUGAAUCAUCGAAUCUUUGAACGCACAUUGCGCCCGCCAGUAUUCUGGCGGGCAUGCCUGUUCGAGCGUCAUUACAACCCUCAGGCCCCCGGGCCUGGCGUUGGGGAUCGGCGGAAGCCCCCUGCGGGCACAACGCCGUCCCCCAAAUACAGUGGCGGUCCCGCCGCAGCUUCCAUUGCGUAGUAGCUAACACCUCGCAACUGGAGAGCGGCGCGGCCACGCCGUAAAACACCCAACUUCUGAAUGUUGACCUCGAAUCAGGUAGGAAUACCCGCUGAACUUAAGCAUAUCAAUAAGCGGUGGA